RNAcentral lists this ribosomal RNA (544 nucleotides) under uncultured bacterium. RNAcentral's name for it is "bacterial SSU rRNA". It matches the Rfam family "Bacterial small subunit ribosomal RNA", at positions 773 to 1306 of the family's 1533-position model. The record is from RNAcentral.
AGAGAAUAGAUACCCAGGUAGUCCACGCUGUAAACGAUGACGACUAGGUGUGGGGGGUUCGAGUCCUUCCGUGCCGCAGCUAAACGACAUUAAGUCGUCCGCCUGGGGAGGUACGGCCGCAAGGUUGAAACUACAAAGGAAUUGACGGGGGCCCGGCACAAGCGGUGGAGCAUGUGGUUCAAUUCGAUGCAGAGCGAAGAACCUUACCUGGGCUUGACAUGCAGGAAGUAGAAACCGGAAACGGGGACGACCUGUUGAGUCAGGAACCUGCACAGGUGGUGCAUGGCUGUCGUCAGCUCGUGCCGUGAGGUGUUGGGUUAAAGUCCCGCAACGAGCGCAACCCUCACUCUAUGUUGCCAUCGGGUAAUGCCGGGCACUCUUAGGGAACUGCCGGCGAAGAGCUGGAGGAAGGGGGGAUGACGUCAAGUCCGUAUGCCCCUUAUGUCCAGGGCUACACACAUGCUACAAUGGCCGAUACAGAGGGUUCCCAACCCGCAAGGGGAGGCAAUCCCACAAACGUCGGUCUCAGUUCGGAUUGCAGGCU